AGGCCGGAGAGAGAAGCAGGGUCUGAUCCACAGUCUCUGUGGCAGCUGCUGAUCAGCCCUUGCCUCUCUCUCUUUCUGGG
Myotis lucifugus (little brown bat) is the source of this 80-nucleotide non-coding RNA. NCBI's taxonomy places the organism in Eukaryota, Metazoa, Chordata, Mammalia, Chiroptera, Vespertilionidae. The record is from Rfam.